AGAUUUUGAAGAAGUUCGCGUAGAUUAUAUUUAUAAAUCAUGAUGCUGUUAACUUCAGGAA
This 61-nucleotide transfer RNA is filed under the name Raillietina sp. 1 Costa Rica. RNAcentral describes it as "partial tRNA-Thr". The record is from RNAcentral. Lineage: Eukaryota; Metazoa; Platyhelminthes; Cestoda; Cyclophyllidea; Davaineidae.